UGCCGCGAAAGGUCUAACCAGCGCUCCAGAGUUUUCCCACCCUCUAUCCGUCGACAUCAAAGGACAGAUUUCCCAUGGCGCGUGACAAGAUUGCUUUGAUUGGUUCAGGUCAGAUCGGCGGGUCGUCGGGCUGAAAGAGCUGGGCGACGUGGUGAUGUUCGACAUCGCCGAAGGCAUCCCCCAGGGCAAGUCGCUCGACAUCGCACAGUCCUCGCCGGUCGACGGCUUCGACGC
This 234-nucleotide unclassified non-coding RNA is filed under the name Hevea brasiliensis (rubber tree). Lineage: Eukaryota; Viridiplantae; Streptophyta; Magnoliopsida; Malpighiales; Euphorbiaceae. The record is from RNAcentral.